Molecule: regulatory RNA element, 46 nt
Organism: Orchesella cincta
Lineage: Eukaryota; Metazoa; Arthropoda; Collembola; Entomobryomorpha; Orchesellidae
Rfam family: Histone 3' UTR stem-loop
About the family: The mRNAs of metazoan histone genes lack a poly-A tail. 3' end processing occurs at a site between a highly conserved stem-loop (modelled by this family) and a purine rich region around 20 nts downstream (the histone downstream element, or HDE).
Source: Rfam
CCAACGGCUCUUUUAAGAGCCACCACAAUUUACUAAGAGCAAAACC